RNAcentral lists this ribosomal RNA (407 nucleotides) under uncultured bacterium. Its description in RNAcentral is "partial 16S ribosomal RNA". It matches the Rfam family "Bacterial small subunit ribosomal RNA", at positions 30 to 526 of the family's 1533-position model. The record is from RNAcentral.
AUUGAACGCUGGCGGCAGGCCUAACACAUGCAAGUCGAACGGAGCGGCGGACGGGUGAGGAAUGCCUAGGAAUCUGCCUGGUAGUGGGGGAUAACGUCCGGAAACGGGCGCUAAUACCGCAUCCUAUCAGAUGAGCCUAGGUCGGAUUAGCUAGUUGGUGGGGUAAAGGCCUACAACGGCGACGAUCCAUAACUGGUCUGAGAGGAUGAUCAGUAACACUGGAACUGAGACACGGUCCAGACGCCUACGGUAGGCAGCAGUGGGGAAUAUUGGACAAUGGGCGAAAGCCUGAUCCAGCCAUGCCGCGUGUGGGAAGAAGGUCUUCGGAUUGUAAAGCACUUUAAGUUGGGAGGCGUUACCAACAGAAUAAGCCCCGGCUAACUUCGUGCCAGCAGCCGCGGUAAUUC